RNAcentral lists this microRNA (22 nucleotides) under Tribolium castaneum (red flour beetle). Its description in RNAcentral is "tca-miR-184-5p". Its record names the gene tca-miR-184-5p. The record is from miRBase by way of RNAcentral. Lineage: Eukaryota; Metazoa; Arthropoda; Insecta; Coleoptera; Tenebrionidae.
CCUUGUCAUUCUCUCGCCCGGU